This 478-nucleotide ribosomal RNA is filed under the name uncultured bacterium. RNAcentral describes it as "partial 16S ribosomal RNA". It matches the Rfam family "Bacterial small subunit ribosomal RNA", at positions 28 to 523 of the family's 1533-position model. The record is from RNAcentral.
GACGAACGCUGGCGGCAUGCCUAACACAUGCAAGUCGAGCGAGCAGAUCCCUUCGGGGUGAAGCUAGCGGCGGACGGGUGAGUAACACGUGGGCAACCUGCCUCAUAGAGGGGAAUAGCCUUCCGAAAGGAAGAUUAAUACCGCAUAAGAUUGUAGCUUCGCAUGAAGUAGCAAUUAAAGGAGCAAUCCGCUAUGAGAUGGGCCCGCGGCGCAUUAGCUAGUUGGUGAGGUAACGGCUCACCAAGGCGACGAUGCGUAGCCGACCUGAGAGGGUGAUCGUCCACAUUGGGACUGAGACACGGCCCAGACUCCUACGGGAGGCAGCAGUGGGGAAUAUUGCACAAUGGGGGAAACCCUGAUGCAGCAAUGCCGCGUGAGUGAUGACAGCCUUCGGGUUGUAAAGCUCUGUCUUCGGGGACGAUAAUGACGGUACCCGAGGAGGAAGCCACGGCUAACUACGUGCCAGCCGCCGCUGUAA